Molecule: ribosomal RNA, 927 nt
Filed under: uncultured bacterium
Lineage: Bacteria
Description: bacterial SSU rRNA
Rfam family: Bacterial small subunit ribosomal RNA
Source: RNAcentral
ACACAUGCAAGUCGAGGGGAAACGACAUCGAAAGCUUGCUUUUGAUGGGCGUCGACCGGCGCACGGGUGAGUAACGCGUAUCCAACCUGCCCACCACUUGGGGAUAACCUUGCGAAAGUAAGACUAAUACCCAAUGACGUCUCUAGAAGACAUCUGAAAGAGAUUAAAGAUUUAUCGGUGAUGGAUGGGGAUGCGUCUGAUUAGCUUGUUGGCGGGGUAACGGCCCACCAAGGCAACGAUCAGUAGGGGUUCUGAGAGGAAGGUCCCCCACAUUGGAACUGAGACACGGUCCAAACUCCUACGGGAGGCAGCAGUGAGGAAUAUUGGUCAAUGGACGAGAGUCUGAACCAGCCAAGUAGCGUGCAGGAUGACGGCCCUAUGGGUUGUAAACUGCUUUUAUAAGGGAAUAAAGUGAGUCUCGUGAGACUUUUUGCAUGUACCUUAUGAAUAAGGACCGGCUAAUUCCGUGCCAGCAGCCGCGGUAAUACGGAAGGUCCGGGCGUUAUCCGGAUUUAUUGGGUUUAAAGGGAGCGUAGGCCGGAGAUUAAGCGUGUUGUGAAAUGUAGACGCUCAACGUCUGCACUGCAGCGCGAACUGGUUUCCUUGAGUACGCACAAAGUGGGCGGAAUUCGUGGUGUAGCGGUGAAAUGCUUAGAUAUCACGAAGAACUCCGAUUGCGAAGGCAGCUCACUGGAGCGCAACUGACGCUGAAGCUCGAAAGUGCGGGUAUCGAACAGGAUUAGAUACCCUGGUAGUCCGCACGGUAAACGAUGGAUGCCCGCUGUUGGUCUGAAUAGGUCAGCGGCCAAGCGAAAGCAUUAAGCAUCCCACCUGGGGAGUACGCCGGCAACGGUGAAACUCAAAGGAAUUGACGGGGGCCCGCACAAGCGGAGGAACAUGUGGUUUAAUUCGAUGAUACGCGAGGAA